RNAcentral lists this long non-coding RNA (209 nucleotides) under Lathyrus oleraceus (garden pea). RNAcentral describes it as "Pisum sativum (pea) long non-coding RNA (PSAT_LNC011159)". The record is from RNAcentral. Lineage: Eukaryota; Viridiplantae; Streptophyta; Magnoliopsida; Fabales; Fabaceae.
UUUUCCUCAACCUGGGGUUCCCUCAAGUUUUCCCAUCGGAGUGAUCGGGAUCCCUUAAAGGGUGGUUGUGUUGCCAUCAUAGUUAACACUUCCCUCUCCUUUACAUCAGCUUCUUGAGUGUCUUUAGAAAUUGAUAGACUUAGAACUCUCUCCAAGGGAAAUUGUGGUUCACCUAAAGGAUUUUCUUGCAAAACCAUUUGAUCAAUCAC